UGGGGAAUAUUGGACAAUGGGGGCAACCCUGAUCCAGCAAUGCCGCGUGUGUGAAGACGGCCUGCGGGUUGUAAAGCACUUUCAGCCGAGAGGAAAGUAUUCGUGUUAAUAGCAUGGAUAUUUGACGUGAACGGUAGAAGAAGCACCGGCUAACUCUGUGCCAGCAGCCGCGGUAAUACAGAGGGUGCGAGCGUUAAUCGGAAUUACUGGGCGUAAAGCGUGCGUAGGCGGUUGACUCAGUCGGAUGUGAAAGCCCCGUGCUUAACAUGGGAACUGCAUUCGAUACUAGUUGACUCGAGUACAGAAGAGGAUAGUGGAAUUCCCGGUGUAGCGGUGAAAUGCGUAGAGAUCGGGAGGAACACCAGUGGCGAAGGCGACUGUCUGGUCUGAUACUGACGCUGAGGUACGAAAGCGUGGGGAGCAAACAGGAUUAGAUACCCCCGUAGUCC
RNAcentral lists this ribosomal RNA (449 nucleotides) under uncultured prokaryote. Its description in RNAcentral is "bacterial SSU rRNA". It matches the Rfam family "Bacterial small subunit ribosomal RNA", at positions 355 to 796 of the family's 1533-position model. The record is from RNAcentral.